GGGGAAUAUUGGGCAAUGGGCGCAAGCCUGACCCAGCAACGCCGCGUGAGGGAAGAAGGUUUUCGGAUUGUAAACCUCUGUCGCAGAAGACGAAGGAAGUGACGGUAUUCUGUGAGGAAGCCCCGGCUGACUACGUGCCAGCAGCCGCGGUCAUACGUAGGGGGCGAGCGUUGUCCGGAAUUACUGGGCGUAAAGGGAGUGUAGGCGGUCUUUUAAGUUGGAUGUGAAAUCCCCGGGCUUAACUUGGGGGGUGCAUUCAAAACUGGGGGACUAGAGUACAGGAGAGGGAAGCGGAAUUCCUAGUGUAGCGGUGAAAUGCGUAGAUAUUAGGAGGAACACCGGUGGCGAAGGCGGCUUUCUGGACUGACACUGACGCUGAGGCUCGAAAGCGUGGGGAGCAAAC
RNAcentral lists this ribosomal RNA (403 nucleotides) under uncultured bacterium. RNAcentral describes it as "bacterial SSU rRNA". It matches the Rfam family "Bacterial small subunit ribosomal RNA", at positions 356 to 773 of the family's 1533-position model. The record is from RNAcentral.